UUGUUUUAUGGUACUUAGCUGUAUUUUUUAAGUUAUGAAGGUUUAAAUCAAAACAAACCAACUGCAGUUGAAUUGAUAUUAAUUGGAAUGCACAACCAAAAAACGAGAUUUCUGAACAAUUAAAAAAACGUUGGUUAUCUCGUUUUGCAACGAAACUCUUCAAAUAUAUUUUACAUUUUUGUCUAGUGAGCAAUAAAAUAAUCAAAUAACACAUACAGACAGCUACGUACAUUAAAGGUACCACAGUAAUGCUAUGGGCUCUUGUGAUUUGGGCCAGUAAACACUUUGAAUAUCCCUAACCAUCAACACUAUCUUCUAUGCAGCAAUUUUGUCAAAUCAACAUAUAGUUUUAUAUUACUUAACUUGAAAAAUUAAGUUAAACAUUUUUAAUACAGUUUUAGUAUAUUUUAGCAACCAUAAAGCAAACCCUAACAUCAUGUUUCAUCUUUUAUUCAUUUGAAAAUAAUAAUGUUUGUGCAGGUUUUGUUGUAUUUUGUUUUUGUCUUUCUUUUCAUCUUUUCAAACAGUGUUGAGCAAUGAACAAUCCAAAGGGGCUGAAGGGACUUAACCAAAAACCCACCAAAAGAAAGAUUAUCGUGUCAACCACAAAGGUCCGCAGCCUAAUACUGACUGCCAAAUAACCAUUACAAGUCAAAGGUUUAAAGUCCUUGCAUGGCUGUAGUUCUGUCAAUACCUCUAAUACCUUGUUUUUGCCAAAGUAACCACUCUUGACCUCUGGAUUAACCGGUCUAUGGGUUCAAACGGGAUAUUUGCUAUUUUAUUGAGCAUUUUGUUUAACAAAACAUGUUCUAGUUCAAAUAUUUGUAAGGUCAUUUAUGCAGUGAUCUAUCAGACAGAAUGCUACCAGACAGGACUGUCUUAUCUACAAUGUGUAUGAUGUCAUUUAUAUCAUUCAAACUUGAAAAAAGUGACUUUGAGAUGGGACUGCUAAGGUGGAAUGUGGCCUCUGAACUGAAAAAUAAAAACUAUAAACUCUAUGUCUGCCCAUAUAAUGAUUAUGUGGACAUCACACCAACAAAACCAAGCCAUUUGACAGCUCUGAAGGUUUGCGUCAGAAGACAUGAUCAUGGCUCUGACAGAUGCACCAAUGAGUACAGUUUCCAAAAGAAAGAUGUUUUCAUAAACAACAAAAUGGGAUUACUAUCAUUGAACAAGUCUGUAAACACAGCUAAAAUACCAAAUACCAAUUUUCUUUUAGUUUAUCUGGUUUUGAAAAUACAAUCUGAGCAUAUAAUGAAAUGAUUUUUCAUAAAAGCAUUUGUCUGGUUAUUAUGUGUUGUGUGAUUAUGUAUAUGGACAUACAGUAAAGGCUACUGUUAUUGGGCUCCAUAAGCAGUACACCCUGCAAAUAACUCGUAGAUGUUCUCUACAUUUGUUCGGAUAGUGAAAUAAAUUACUGAAAUUCUGCUACCUCAAAGGUCCAAUGUUGUAUUACAACAUUUCCAUAAAAA
Molecule: non-coding RNA, 1472 nt
Organism: Misgurnus anguillicaudatus (oriental weatherfish)
Lineage: Eukaryota; Metazoa; Chordata; Actinopteri; Cypriniformes; Cobitidae
Source: RefSeq, a predicted model, not a curated record